Long non-coding RNA from Melitaea cinxia (Glanville fritillary), 272 nucleotides. RefSeq lists it as uncharacterized. The record is from RefSeq and is a predicted model, not a curated record. The transcript is spliced from 2 exons. Lineage: Eukaryota; Metazoa; Arthropoda; Insecta; Lepidoptera; Nymphalidae.
CUCCGGCUCCGCAUAGUGCCCGCCGCGCGCGCAGCUGGAUACUAGUAGGGCUGUCCAGCUGGCGGAGGCCUGUGACGUGGUCAACUCAAUACUACGCGCUAUACCCUACUGCGUUACUUCCACAUAGGUAACAGACGUAUGCAAAUCUCUUUCUGAAUCUUAAUACGUGUCAUCAAACAAACAAUUAAAUGCUUCACUAAAAUAUUAGUAAUUAUAAGCAAUGUAUACUCGUUCAAUUAAACAACAUCGAAUAAAUGCAUCAUAAUACGGCA